UACGGGAGGCAGCAGUGGGGAAUAUUGCACAAUGGGCGCAAGCCUGAUGCAGCCAUGCCGCGUGUAUGAAGAAGGCCUUCGGGUUGUAAAGUACUUUCAGUCGUGAGGAAGGUGUUAAGGUUAAUAACCUUAGCAAUUGACGUUAGCGACAGAAGAAGCACCGGCUAACUCCGUGCCAGCAGCCGCGGCAAUACGGAGGGUGCGAGCGUUAAUCGGAAUUACUGGGCGUAAAGGGCACGCAGGCGGUUAAUUAAGUUGGAUGUGAAAUCCCCGGGCUUAACCUGGGAAUGGCAUUCAAGACUGGUUAGCUAGAGUCUUGUAGAGGGGGUAGAAUUCCGAUGUGUAGCGGUGAAAUGCGUAGAGAUGUGGAGGAAUACCGGUGGCGAAGGCGGCCCCUGGGACAAAGACUGACGCUCAUGUGCGAAAGCGUGGGGAGCAAACAGGAUUAGGAUACC
RNAcentral lists this ribosomal RNA (455 nucleotides) under uncultured bacterium. RNAcentral describes it as "bacterial SSU rRNA". It matches the Rfam family "Bacterial small subunit ribosomal RNA", at positions 340 to 786 of the family's 1533-position model. The record is from RNAcentral.